CCUACGGGGGGCAGCAGUGGGGAAUAUUGCACAAUGGGCGCAAGCCUGAUGCAGCCAUGCCGCGUGUGUGAAGAAGGCCUUCGGGUUGUAAAGCACUUUCAGCGGGGAGGAAGGCGGUGAGAUUAAUAACCUCAUCGAUUGACGUUACCCGCAGAAGAAGCACCGGCUAACUCCGUGCCAGCAGCCGCGGUAAUACGGAGGGUGCAAGCGUUAAUCGGAAUUACUGGGCGUAAAGCGCACGCAGGCGGUCUGUCAAGUCGGAUGUGAAAUCCCCGGGCUCAACCUGGGAACUGCAUUCGAAACUGGCAGGCUAGAGUCUUGUAGAGGGGGGUAGAAUUCCAGGUGUAGCGGUGAAAUGCGUAGAGAUCUGGAGGAAUACCGGUGGCGAAGGCGGCCCCCUGGACAAAGACUGACGCUCAGGUGCGAAAGCGUGGGGAGCAAACAGGAUUAGAUACCCGGGUAGUC
This 465-nucleotide ribosomal RNA is filed under the name uncultured Klebsiella sp. RNAcentral's name for it is "bacterial SSU rRNA". It matches the Rfam family "Bacterial small subunit ribosomal RNA", at positions 338 to 795 of the family's 1533-position model. Lineage: Bacteria; Pseudomonadati; Pseudomonadota; Gammaproteobacteria; Enterobacterales; Enterobacteriaceae. The record is from RNAcentral.